This 253-nucleotide ribosomal RNA is filed under the name uncultured prokaryote. Its description in RNAcentral is "partial 16S ribosomal RNA". It matches the Rfam family "Bacterial small subunit ribosomal RNA", at positions 525 to 777 of the family's 1533-position model. The record is from RNAcentral.
ACGGAGGGGGCAAGCGUUAUUCGGAAUCAUUGGGCGUAAAGGGCGCGUAGGCGGCCUGGCAAGUCAAAGGUGAAAUCCCUCGGCCCAACCGAGGAACCGCCUUUGAAACUGCAAGGCUUGAGGCCGGGAGAGGGUAGCGGAAUUCCCAGUGUAGCGGUGAAAUGCGUAGAUAUUGGGAGGAACACCAGUGGCGAAGGCGGCUACCUGGACCGGUUCUGACGCUGAGGCGCGAAAGCGUGGGGAGCAAACAGGA